AUACGGAGGAUCCGAGCGUUAUCCGGAUUUAUUGGGUUUAAAGGGUGCGCAGGCGGCCAUUUAAGUCAGCGGUUAAAUCGUGGGGCUCAACCCCAUUCUGCCGUUGAUACUGGGUGGCUUGAUUGCGGUCGAGGUUGGCGGAAUUCGUUGUGUAGCGGUGAAAUGCAUAGAUAUGACGAAGAACACCGAUUGCGUAGGCAGCUGACCAGACCGCAAAUGACGCUCAUGCACGAAAGUGCGGGGAUCGAACAGGAUAGAUACCCUGGUAGUCCGCACAGUAAACGAUGAAUACUUGUUUUCGGCGAUAUAAUGUCGGAGGCAAAGCGAAAGCGAUAAGUAUUCCACCUGGGGAGUACGCCGGCAACGGUGAAACUCAAAGGAAUUGACGGGG
RNAcentral lists this ribosomal RNA (391 nucleotides) under uncultured bacterium. RNAcentral's name for it is "partial 16S ribosomal RNA". It matches the Rfam family "Bacterial small subunit ribosomal RNA", at positions 523 to 918 of the family's 1533-position model. The record is from RNAcentral.